This is a long non-coding RNA of Oncorhynchus tshawytscha (Chinook salmon), 366 nucleotides long. The record is from Ensembl. Lineage: Eukaryota; Metazoa; Chordata; Actinopteri; Salmoniformes; Salmonidae.
CUUAAGGUUGAUGAAUGCUUAAGGCUGAUGAAUGUUUAAGGCUGAUGAAUGUUUAAGGCUGAUGAAUGCUUAAGGCUGAUGAAUGCUUAAGGUUGAUGAAUGCUUAAAGCUGAUGAAUGCUUAAGGUUGAUGAAUGCUUAAGGUUAAUGAAUGCUUAAGGUUGAUGAAUGCUUAAGGUUGAUGAAUGCUUAAGGUUGAUGAAUGCUUAAGGCUGAUGAAUGCUUAAGGUUGAUGAAUGCUUAAGGCUGAUGAAUGCUUAAGGUUGAUGAAUGCAUAAGGUUGAUGAAUGCAUAAGGUUGAUGAUUGCUUAAGGCUGAUGAAUGCUUAAGGCUGAUGAAUGCUUAAGGCUGAUGAUUGCUUAAGGUU